Molecule: ribosomal RNA, 225 nt
Filed under: uncultured bacterium
Lineage: Bacteria
Description: partial 16S ribosomal RNA
Rfam family: Bacterial small subunit ribosomal RNA
Source: RNAcentral
GAUGAACGCUGGCUGUGUGCCUAAUACAUGCAUGUCGAACGAAGCACUUGUGCUUAGUGGCGAAUGGGUGAGUAACACGUACUUAAUCUACCUCUAGGUUUGGGACAACAAUUGGAAACGAUUGCUAAUACCGAAUAUCCUUUUUAUCGCAUGUGAUGUUAAGGUAACGUCCGUUGGUCGCCAAGAGAUGAGAGUGCGGUACAUUAGUUAGUUGGUAGGGUAAAG